UAGUCAUAUGCUUGUCUCAAAGACUAAGCCAUGCAUGUCUAAGUAUAAGCGAUUUAUAGUGAAACUGCGAAUGGCUCAUUAAAACAGUUAUAGUUUAUUUGAUAAUCGAAUUUUACAUGGAUAACCGUGGUAAUUCUAGAGCUAAUACAUGCUGUUAAGCCUGACUUUUUGGAAGGGCUGUAUUUAUUAGAUACAAACCAAUAUUCCUUCGGGUCUAUUGUGAUGAUUCAAUAUAACUGAUCGAAUCGCAUGGUCUUGCACCGCGAUAAAUCAUUCAAGUUUCUGCCCCAUCAGCUUUCGAUGGUAGUGUAUUGGACUACCAUGGCUUUCACGGGUAACGGAGGAUUAGGGUUCGAUUCCGGAGAGGGAGCCUGAGAAACGGCUACCACAUCUAAGGAAGGCAGCAGGCGCGUAAAUUACCCAAUCCUGACUCAGGGAGGUAGUGACAAGAAAUAACAGACCGGAGCCUACGGUUCCGGGAUUGCAAUGAGUACAAUUUAGACUCCUUAACAAGUAACAAUUGGAGGGCAAGUCUGGUGCCAGCAGCCGCGGUAAUUCCAGCUCCAAUAGCGUAUAUUAAAGUUGUUGCAGUUAAAAAGCUCGUAGUUGGAUUUCUGUGAGAGUGCCGGUGUCGGCUGAUGCUUGUACGCAGGCGCUCUUACAUCCUUCUGUUAACUGUUCUUGGCAUUUUAUUGCUGGUUCAGGGCUCAGAUAUUUUACCUUGAGAAAAUUAGAGUGUUUCAGGCAGGCUUAUGCCGGAAUACAUUAGCAUGGAAUAAUGGAACAGGACCUGUGCGUCUCUCGGGGCGCCGGUCUCCGUUGUUGGUUUCGGGGACUAAUGUAAUGAUUAAUAGGGAUAGUUGGGGGCAUUAGUAUUUAAUAGUCAGAGGUGAAAUUCUCGGAUUUGUUAAAGACUAACUUAUGCGAAAGCAUUUGCCAAGGAUGUUUUCAUUAAUCAAGAACGAAAGUUAGGGGAUCAAAGACGAUCAGAUACCGUCCUAGUCUUAACCAUAAACUAUGCCGACUAGGGAUCGGAGGCGAGUACUAACAGCCUUCGGAACCUUAUGAGAAAUCAAAGUCUUUGGGUUCUGGGGGGAGUAUGGUCGCAAGGCUGAAACUUAAAGGAAUUGACGGAAGGGCACCACCAGGCGUGGAGCUUGCGGCUCAAUUUGACUCAACACGGGAAAACUUACCAGG
Molecule: ribosomal RNA, 1197 nt
Filed under: Stichotrichia sp. aAcq2
Lineage: Eukaryota; Ciliophora; Spirotrichea
Description: SSU rRNA
Rfam family: Eukaryotic small subunit ribosomal RNA
Source: RNAcentral